AUUCGAAGAUCAGUCGGGCCAGCCCCAGUGUAACCCUCACUGCAGCCUGACCAAGACGAGGCUGAAACAGCAAGAGCAUCUAACCCACACAAAAGCUGCUCUUGUGAAACUUAAGAGUUUACGUUCUUGGAGACAUUGAUGGAGAUAAUAACAACAACUAUGAUCAUCAUGACUGCCAUAACCAGCUCCUACUGUAUCCUAGCUCUGUGGAGAGCACAUCACCUCAUCACACAGCAACACUACAAGGACUGCCUCCACUUUAAGAUGUGAUUAAGUAACAUGCCCAAGGCCCGUAGCAAAGAAGCAGUAGAGCCAGAAAUUAAAUUUAGGGUUCUCCAAUUUCAGAAGCCAUGUUCUUAACUCUCUGUGGUAUUGCUCACCAUCUACAGACCAAACAGAUGAACCCUGAAUAAAACACACUUUUCCAAAG
Homo sapiens (human) is the source of this 430-nucleotide long non-coding RNA. The record is from Ensembl. Lineage: Eukaryota; Metazoa; Chordata; Mammalia; Primates; Hominidae.